AACGAACGCUGGCGGCAUGCCUAACACAUGCAAGUCGAACGAGACCUUCGGGUCUAGUGGCGCACGGGUGCGUACCGCGUGGGAACCUGCACUUAGGUUCGGAAUAACUCCCCGAAAGGGGUGCUAAUACCGGAUAAUGUCUUCGGACCAAAGAUUUAUCGCCUUUGGAUGGGCCCGCGUUGGAUUAGCGAGUUGGUAGGGUAAAAGCCUACCAAGGCGACGAUGCAUAGCUGGUCUGAGAGGAGGAUCAGCCACACUGGGACUGAGACACGGCCCAGACUCCGACGGGAGGGAGCAGUGGGUAAUAUUGGACAAGGGGCGAAAGCCUGAUCCAGCAACGCCGCGUGAGUGAUGAAGGCCGUAGGGUUGUAAAGCUCUUUUACCCGGGAUGAUAAUGACAGUACCGGGAGAAUAAGCUCCGGCUAACUCCGUG
This 433-nucleotide ribosomal RNA is filed under the name uncultured bacterium. Its description in RNAcentral is "partial 16S ribosomal RNA". It matches the Rfam family "Bacterial small subunit ribosomal RNA", at positions 29 to 507 of the family's 1533-position model. The record is from RNAcentral.